UAGCAGUAACAGGAUCGGUUACGUGGAUUUACAAAUUGACGUAUUUACACAUUUUUGAGGCUAUAACCAGGAAAAUGAACACGGGAGAUCCAGUAGAUGUAGUGUAUCUGGACUUUCAGUUAAGAUCCCACAUAGCAGAUUAGUGGGCAAUAUUAGACCAGUGAGAGUGGGGU
Amblyraja radiata (thorny skate) is the source of this 173-nucleotide long non-coding RNA. RefSeq lists it as uncharacterized. The record is from RefSeq and is a predicted model, not a curated record. Lineage: Eukaryota; Metazoa; Chordata; Chondrichthyes; Rajiformes; Rajidae. The transcript is spliced from 3 exons.